GAGGGUAUAACUCAGGGGUAAAGUACAUGCUUAGCAUGCAUGAGGUCCUAGGUUCAAUCCCCAGUACCUCCA
Molecule: transfer RNA, 72 nt
Filed under: Camelus bactrianus (Bactrian camel)
Lineage: Eukaryota; Metazoa; Chordata; Mammalia; Artiodactyla; Camelidae
Also listed under: 1 other name
Rfam family: tRNA
About the family: Transfer RNA (tRNA) molecules are approximately 80 nucleotides in length. Their secondary structure includes four short double-helical elements and three loops (D, anti-codon, and T loops). Further hydrogen bonds mediate the characteristic L-shaped molecular structure. tRNAs have two regions of fundamental functional importance: the anti-codon, which is responsible for specific mRNA codon recognition, and the 3' end, to which the tRNAs corresponding amino acid is attached (by aminoacyl-tRNA synthetases). tRNAs cope with the degeneracy of the genetic code in two manners: having more than one tRNA (with a specific anti-codon) for a particular amino acid; and 'wobble' base-pairing, i.e. permitting non-standard base-pairing at the 3rd anti-codon position.
Source: Rfam by way of RNAcentral